AUACGUAGGUGACAAGCGUUAUCCGGAAUUAUUGGGCGUAAAGAGUGAGCAGGCGGUUAAUUAAGUCUGAGGUUAAAGCGUGGGGCUCAACCCCAUAAAGCCUUGGAAACUGAUUGACUAGAGUACGGGAGAAGUGAAGGGAACUCCAUGUGUAGCGGUGAAAUGCGUAGAUAUAUGGAAGAACACCAGUGGCGAAGGCGCUUCACUAGCCCGAAACUGACGCUCAGUCACGAAAGCGUGGGUAGCAAAUAGGAUUAGAUACCCUAGUAGUCCACGCUGUAAACGAUGACAACUAAAUAUUGCCGCGAGGCAGUGUUGAAGCUAACGCAUUAAGUUGUCCGCCUGGGGAGUACGGUCGCAAGACUGAAACUUAAAGGAAUUGGCGGGG
This 388-nucleotide ribosomal RNA is filed under the name uncultured bacterium. RNAcentral's name for it is "partial 16S ribosomal RNA". It matches the Rfam family "Bacterial small subunit ribosomal RNA", at positions 523 to 918 of the family's 1533-position model. The record is from RNAcentral.